RNAcentral lists this long non-coding RNA (2157 nucleotides) under Gallus gallus (chicken). Lineage: Eukaryota; Metazoa; Chordata; Aves; Galliformes; Phasianidae. The record is from RNAcentral.
UAAAAUGAAUUGGUAGCUAGAUAAAUGGUUGUUCCUUCCUGGUCUUUGUGGCCUGUCCCACUUUCCUCAAACAGGAUUUUUCAGACAGCUGCUGUUGCUGCAUACUGAGUGAUUUAAUCUUUUCCAGGAGAUAUUUGCUUCAGGUGUUUUCCAAACGUACACACAUGAGCUAGGAGGAGGACAUGCAGACUUUUGCUCCUUGGAGCACAUUUCAGAGUCCACCCGGGUACAGCUCUGCACAGGGGACCCACUCCACUCCUGAACUCAGCGUAAUUAGAAGCAAGCUCAUAAGGGCUUUGGAAUGGAAAGGAGAAAUUCAAGAUUUCCCAAAGUGUCCAUCACAAGUGUGAAUUACUUCUGUUGAUCCUUAAUGGAACUGAAGUUCUUAAAAAUGAAUCACAUCGAAAAAGUAUCCCUAUCAAGAUAUGACAAGGGCUCAAGGGAUAAAUGGAAAAUUCAAGCAGAAAACGUGAUGAGUUAGUCCUGAAUCCCUUCAGGCUGCCAUGGAAGUGAGGAAGCUGAUGGAUCCUGGUGCAGCAACAUCUCACCUCUUCUCACAGCUCUGCACAGAGCCAGUGGCCAUAUGAAUGUGGGAGUUCCUACCCACUUUCCAAGCAGAGGCUGUUACCAGUACAGUAACAAGAAGGUUUUUGAAAGCAUUUUGACAACCCUAAAGGAUUAGGAUCUUCUACAUCUUGCAAUUCAAACUGUGAUAAAAACAAAACCCAAACACUUAACAGCAGAGCAUCUGUUGUACAAGGAUGUACUUCAUGGACACCGAAAUUCUGUGAUUCAGUUCUGAGCUAUUUGGAAGAUGGAUGAGGCAAGGCACAGGACUCAAUAGUGCUUGAGUGAUUUGAAGAAGUAGAAGCCCAGAAAUCCUGCUUGGCUUAUGCUCCAACAACAUCCAACUAAAGGCUCUUCUACCUCUGAGAAAUGGAUCGUGCAUGUUAAAGGCUUUCCAUUUAUUGAGCUCUGGGGGUAGAUACAGAAUGGAUCUGGCUGCAGACACUGGGGAGAUUCUGCAAGUCACAGUUGGAUGUGUGAAAGCACAUAUAUUUGUCAUGGAACUGGAAAGGCAAUGCCUGCCAAGCAACUCAGCCCCUCCAUGGGGAUUGUCCAUCACAUUGAUAUCCAUAGGAUCACCUGGUCCCCCCACCCAGACAAACAAGGUGGGAAACAGCACAGGAGCCACAGCUGGGCUCCUAGUCUGUAUUUAUCCAGAAAAAGAAAAACCACUGAUUUCUGCCAAAGGGAUUAGGAUUUACUGUCAUAUCAGGUGAAUUCAGGUCAACAAGAAGAUGAGGCCAGUUUUAUCUGCACUGAUAAUAAAGCAUCCUCUUUGGACAACUAAAAGGAGAGAGAGUGUUACACAUUUGGUUUAACGUGACUCACACAGACAAGCUUUAAUAUCUGCAUGACUACAAACAGGAUCUCUUUUUCUGUUUUUCAAUCUAACUCUGCAAGGCUAAGAGUCUGGAAGAUGAUGGUGUCCUUAAAAUAUUAUUACUAUACCAUCAUAAAAAAAGAGGAAAUGUGAGCCUGAAAGAUAGACUUUAUUCUCAGCAUUUACAUGGCUGCUUUGCAGUCAUGGGCAAAGGGCUCACAUUUUUCUUGUCUCAGUUUACUGAACUGUGAAAUGAUAACUGCAGCUCUGCAGUCUGGGAAAUCUGAUGAUACAACCGUGCCUUCAGUUUUUCAUGCGCAGGAUGUGAAAAAGUUGAUAACGUUACUAUGACACCAUCUUUUCUACUGGCUGUGUACUCACUGCUCUGUGCUUGCAAAUAUAAGAUUCUGUCCUCUAAGGGGUGAUUAACAGCACUCGAAUUUGUAUAUUUAUGUGAUAUUUCUCCAAAGAAUGAUGUUGUGUGUCCUUUGGUACCUCAGCAAAUAGAAAAUGUAUAACUCUUCGUAUGGUUGUCCAUAGCAAAUAAAAGAACACUGUUUCCAACAGGAUAUAUUAUACUGAAGAGGAAUACUUUGUCACAAUAAAUUUAAUAAAUGCAUUGCAAUUAUGACUAUUGCUGGAAAAAGCUCAGCAAAAGUAGAACUGCAAGAGGAAUACGUGAAAAUAAUGUUGUGAAAAGUUGGCAAGCUUAUACUCAAUGGCUAGUUUUAAAAAUGAUAAAAAUCAGACAUCUAAAGCACAGAGAGCUG